This 233-nucleotide long non-coding RNA is filed under the name Lathyrus oleraceus (garden pea). RNAcentral's name for it is "Pisum sativum (pea) long non-coding RNA (PSAT_LNC028391)". The record is from RNAcentral. Lineage: Eukaryota; Viridiplantae; Streptophyta; Magnoliopsida; Fabales; Fabaceae.
GCAUUUAUGUUUAUUAUGUUGUAUAUAUGUGCAUAUCUGUUUGCAUGCAUCAUACUGUCAUCAUGUUGGAUUCUGUACAGGUUAGUUCCUCUGAUUUGGGGUGCGUGUUCUGAGUGAGGCCCAAUACCCAGGCCUGAGUAUACACUUAGGAUUAGCGUGGUCUCAUGUUUCUUCACAUGUUGUACGACAUGAUGAGGAGACGUGUCACCACAGCCGGACGAGGUUCAUUUGAG